GGAUGAUCGGCCACACUGGAACUGACACACGGUCCAGACUCCUACGGGAGGCAGCAGUGAGGAAUUUUGCGCAAUGGGGGAAACCCUGACGCAGCAACGCCGCGUGAGUGAUGAAGGCUUUCGGGUCGUAAAGCUCUGUCAAGUGGGAAGAACUUGUCUGGUGCGAAUACCACCGGACACUGACGGUACCACUGAAGGAAGCACCGGCUAACUCCGUGCCAGCAGCCGCGGUAAUACGGGGGGUGCAAGCGUUAUUCGGAAUCAUUGGGCGUAAAGGGCGCGUAGGCGGCCUCUUAAGUCAGAUGUGAAAGCCCGGGGCUUAACCCCGGAAGUGCAUUUGAAACUGAGAAGCUUGAGUAUGGGAGAGGGAAGUGGAAUUCCUGGUGUAGAGGUGAAAUUCGUAGAUAUCAGGAGGAACACCGGUGGCGAAGGCGGCUUCCUGGACCAAUACUGACGCUGAGGCGCGAAGGCGUGGGUAGCAAACAGGAUUAGAUACCCUGGUAGUCCACGCAGUAAACGUUGAACACUAGGUGUAGCGGGUAUUGACCCCUGCUGUGCCGCAGUUAACGCAUUAAGUGUUCCGCCUGGGAAGUACGGCCGCAAGGUUAAAACUCAAAGGAAUUGACGGGGGCCCGCACAAGCGGUGGAGCAUGUGGUUUAAUUCGACGCAACGCGAAGAACCUUACCUGGGUUUGACAUCCCGAGAAGUCUCUUGAAAGAGAGAUGUGCCCUUCGGGGAAUUCGGAGACAGGUGCUGCAUGGCUGUCGUCAGCUCGUGUCGUGAGAUGUUGGGUUAAGUCCCGCAACGAGCGCAACCCUUAUCUUUAGUUACCAGCAUUCAGUUGGGGACUCUAAAGAUACUGCCCCGGUUAACGGGGAGGAAGGUGGGGAUGACGUCAAGUCCUCAUGGCCCUUAUACCCAGGGCUACACACGUGCUACAAUGGGCUGUACAAAGGGUCGCGAGCCCGCGAGGGUUAGCUAAUCCCAGAAAGCAGCUCUAAGUUCGGAUUGGAGUCUGCAACUCGACUCCAUGAAGCUGGAAUCGCUAGUAAUCGUGGAUCAGCACGCCACGGUGAAUACGUUCCCGGGCCUUGUACACACCGCCCGUCACACCAUGAGAGUUGGUUGUACCAGAAGUUGUUGGACCAACCCGCAAGGGGGGUAAGCACCUAAGGUAUGGCUGAUGAUUGGGGUGAAGUCGUAACAAGGUA
This 1212-nucleotide ribosomal RNA is filed under the name metagenome. RNAcentral's name for it is "bacterial SSU rRNA". It matches the Rfam family "Bacterial small subunit ribosomal RNA", at positions 298 to 1498 of the family's 1533-position model. The record is from RNAcentral.